This 253-nucleotide ribosomal RNA is filed under the name uncultured bacterium. RNAcentral describes it as "partial 16S ribosomal RNA". It matches the Rfam family "Bacterial small subunit ribosomal RNA", at positions 524 to 776 of the family's 1533-position model. The record is from RNAcentral.
UACAGAGGGUGCAAGCGUUAAUCGGAAUUACUGGGCGUAAAGGGCGUGUAGGUGGUUGUAUAAGUUGGUUGUGAAAUCCCUGGGCUUAACCUAGGAAUGGCAAUCAAGACUGUAUAACUAGAGUACGGUAGAGGGUAGUGGAAUUUCCGGUGUAGCGGUGAAAUGCGUAGAGAUCGGAAGGAACACCAGUGGCGAAGGCGGCUACCUGGACUGAUACUGACACUGAGGCGCGAAAGCGUGGGGAGCAAACAGG